GUCUGGAAAGGCGCGCGAUACAGGGUGACAGCCCCGUACACAAAAAUGCACAUGCUGUGAGCUCGAUGAGUAGGGCGGGACACGUGGUAUCCUGUCUGAAUAUGGGGGGACCAUCCUCCAAGGCUAAAUACUCCUGACUGACCGAUAGUGAACCAGUACCGUGAGGGAAAGGCGAAAAGAACCCCGGCGAGGGGAGUGAAAAAGAACCUGAAACCGUGUACGUACAAGCAGUGGGAGCCUCUUUAUGGGGUGACUGCGUACCUUUUGUAUAAUGGGUCAGCGACUUAUAUUCUGUAGCAAGGUUAACCGAAUAGGGGAGCCGAAGGGAAACCGAGUCUUAACUGGGCGUUAAGUUGCAGGGUAUAGACCCGAAACCCGGUGAUCUAGCCAUGGGCAGGUUGAAGGUUGGGUAACACUAACUGGAGGACCGAACCGACUAAUGUUGAAAAAUUAGCGGAUGACUUGUGGCUGGGGGUGAAAGGCCAAUCAAACCGGGAGAUAGCUGGUUCUCCCCGAAAGCUAUUUAGGUAGCGCCUCGUGAAUUCAUCUCCGGGGGUAGA
This 560-nucleotide ribosomal RNA is filed under the name Escherichia coli. RNAcentral describes it as "partial 23S ribosomal RNA". It matches the Rfam family "Bacterial large subunit ribosomal RNA", at positions 340 to 906 of the family's 2925-position model. The record is from RNAcentral. Lineage: Bacteria; Pseudomonadati; Pseudomonadota; Gammaproteobacteria; Enterobacterales; Enterobacteriaceae.